RNAcentral lists this ribosomal RNA (450 nucleotides) under uncultured bacterium. Its description in RNAcentral is "partial 16S ribosomal RNA". It matches the Rfam family "Bacterial small subunit ribosomal RNA", at positions 338 to 795 of the family's 1533-position model. The record is from RNAcentral.
CCUACGGGGGGCUGCAGUAAGGAAUAUUGGUCAAUGGAGGAAACUCUGAACCAGCCAUCCCGCGUGAAGGAUGAAGGGGCUCUGCCUUGUAAACUUCUUUUGUCUGGGGCGAAAAAGCUCGAUUUAUCGAGAACUGACGGUACCAGAAGAAUAAGCACAGGCUAACUCCGUGCCAGAAGCCGCGGUCAUACGGAGGGUGCAAGCGUUAUCCGGAAUAACUGGGUUGAAGGGGUCGUAGGGAGGCAGUGGAGAACGGCUGUGGCGUAACCAUGGAAUUGCCAUUGAGACUGCAGAGCUUGAAUGAGGUUGAGGUUGGCGGAAUGUGACAUGUAGCGGUGAAAUGCUUAGAUAUGUCAUGGAACACCGAUUGCGAAGGCAGCUGACUGGACCUAUAUUGACGCUGAGGCACGAAAGCGUGGGGAGCGAACAGGAUUAGAUACCCCAGUAGUC